AAGUAUUAAAGGUCCUGCCUGCCCAGUGAAAUAUUUUAAACGGCCGCGGUAUUCUAACCGUGCAAAGGUAGCGUAAUCACUUGUCUUCUAAAUAAAGACCAGUAUGAACGGCUAAAUGAGGAUAAGCCUGUCUCCUACAGCCCAUCAGUGAAACUGAUCUCUCAGUCCAAAAGCUGAGAUACUAACAUAAGACGAGAAGACCCUGUGGAGCUUAAAACUAAUAUGUUAAUAAGCAACUUUUUCCGCACACCUAACAUAAAUUUUAAGUUGGGGCGACUUUGGAACAAAACAAAACUUCCAAGCACAGAACCACCACUUCUAACUAAGGCAAACAGGCCUAAGCAAGUACUGACCCAGUCACACUGAUCAACGAACCAAGUUACCCCAGGGAUAACAGCGCUAUCUUCUUCAAGAGUCCAUAUCGACAAGAAGGUUUACGACCUCGAUGUUGGAUCAGGGCACCCAAAUGGUGCAACCGCUAUUAAAGGUUCGUUGUCACGAU
RNAcentral lists this ribosomal RNA (502 nucleotides) under Glaphyromorphus fuscicaudis (grey-tailed skink). RNAcentral describes it as "partial 16S ribosomal RNA". It matches the Rfam family "Bacterial large subunit ribosomal RNA", at positions 1841 to 2588 of the family's 2925-position model. Lineage: Eukaryota; Metazoa; Chordata; Lepidosauria; Squamata; Scincidae. The record is from RNAcentral.